Molecule: long non-coding RNA, 361 nt
Filed under: Citrus maxima (pomelo)
Lineage: Eukaryota; Viridiplantae; Streptophyta; Magnoliopsida; Sapindales; Rutaceae
Description: long non-coding RNA (CMAX_LNC002089)
Source: RNAcentral
UCCAAUCCACUUGUUGUGAACUCUAUUGUGGGUAUUUUAUCCAGCUUUGAGAUUCUGUUGGUCUUCCUCUUUGUCAUAUUUCUUGUGUGGACUUAUUAUGCCCGCAUCUCAAACGAUUUCAAGAAGUUGAUGCCAGUCAAAUCCCUGAAAUUAAACACGUGAGUUGUUUGUGACUGUAUAAACAGGUGAUGAGAUAAUGGAAAGCAAGAUUUGUCUUUACCAUUAUUGAUGCUUCAGCUCUUUUGCAGAUGGCAACUCAAGUACCUAAGAGUUGCAACCCGCUUCGGGUUACUAGCAGAGGCUUGCCUGGCUUUGCUGCUCCUGCCUAUCUUAAGGGGGCUGUCCUUGUUUCGGUUACUCG